Schistosoma rodhaini is the source of this 45-nucleotide non-coding RNA. Lineage: Eukaryota; Metazoa; Platyhelminthes; Trematoda; Strigeidida; Schistosomatidae. The record is from Rfam.
AUCCAGAUGAUGAGUCCCAAAUAGGACGAAACACGUGUUUUGAAU